Molecule: non-coding RNA, 88 nt
Organism: Pseudomonas sp. G5(2012)
Lineage: Bacteria; Pseudomonadati; Pseudomonadota; Gammaproteobacteria; Pseudomonadales; Pseudomonadaceae
Source: Rfam
CGUUAUGGCGGCUGUGCGUAGGACGUCUUCGGACGUGCCGGUUUCCUUGAUUUCCCGGUUUACCAACCUGCGCACAGCUGCCACCCAU